CGGAGGAAGAGGAGGAGGAUGAGAAGGAGAUGGUGCAGGAGGAGGUGUUGCAGGAGGAGGAGAAGGAGGAGGAUGAGAAGGAGGUGGUGCGGGAGGAAAAAGAGAAGGAGGUGGUUCAGGAUGAGGAGGAGAAGGAGGUGGUGCAGGUGGAAGAGGAGGAGGAUGAGAAGGAGGUGGUGCAGGAGGAAGAGGAUGAGAAGGAUGUGGUGCAGGAGGAAGAGGAGGAGGAGGAGAAGGAGGUGGUUCAGGAGGAAGAGGAGGAGGAUGAGGUGGUGCAGGAGGAAGAAGAGGAGAGGAGGUGGUGCAGGAGGAAGAGGAGGAGGAUGAGAAGGAGGUGGUGCAGGAAGAAGAGGAGGAGGAUGAGAAGGAGGUGGUGCAGGAAGAAGAGGAGGAGGAUGAGAAGGAGGUGGUGCAGGAAGAAGAGGAGGAGGAUGAGAAGGAGGUGGUGCAGGAGGAAGAGGAGGAGGAUGAGAAGGAGGUGGUGCAGGAGGAAG
Long non-coding RNA from Oncorhynchus tshawytscha (Chinook salmon), 494 nucleotides. The record is from Ensembl. NCBI's taxonomy places the organism in Eukaryota, Metazoa, Chordata, Actinopteri, Salmoniformes, Salmonidae.